This 605-nucleotide long non-coding RNA is filed under the name Lactuca sativa (garden lettuce). Its description in RNAcentral is "long non-coding RNA (LSAT_LNC005946)". Lineage: Eukaryota; Viridiplantae; Streptophyta; Magnoliopsida; Asterales; Asteraceae. The record is from RNAcentral.
UGCAAUCUGAUUUCUAUUCUUUUAGUUAUUCUAAGUGUUUGAUUUCUAUCCUUCUAUUAACUUUGAGUGGGUUGUUCAUCAUCAAGACUUUCGUUUCAACGAGAUAUAAGGCAUAAGACUAAUCAAAUCAAGAGACAUCUGAGAAAUGUAGAAGAACAUGGAUUAUUGACAUCAGUCAACAGACAACCAAAUUAAGAGAAAAGGAUCAUCACCAUCACCAACGACACUGAUAACCAUGAAAUUGGUAUCAAUAUUGUCGAUUUCAAAAGAAAUCAGAAAAACGGAAGAAAAAGGAACCUGAGGUGAGACGGUGUAGCUGUAGGGUACGAAGCUGGUGGCGGUGAAGGCUGUGAGAAAGGGGACCGACUGGUUCCAGGGUCCUGUGAGAGGUUAUCGACAGCGGUGCCUGAGAAGUUGUAAGCGACGGAGAUUUCUGAAGGCCAUUCGAGAGAGGCUAUCGGCCACAAAGUUUUCCUAUGAUAGAGAAGCCGACAAAGAUUAUUCGUGUCUUAGAGAAUAUCGGUGGUUUGGAGGAACGGUGGAAGGAACUGGAAAUGGAAAUAUAUGCAAAUGGUUUAAAUCGAGAAAAUCGAGAAGCAUCGGAA